Molecule: ribosomal RNA, 20 nt
Filed under: Collybiopsis pseudolodgeae
Lineage: Eukaryota; Fungi; Basidiomycota; Agaricomycetes; Agaricales; Omphalotaceae
Also listed under: 1 other name
Description: Gymnopus pseudolodgeae partial 18S ribosomal RNA
Source: RNAcentral
AACCUGCGGUUGGAUCAUUA